Molecule: transfer RNA, 71 nt
Organism: Loxodonta africana (African savanna elephant)
Lineage: Eukaryota; Metazoa; Chordata; Mammalia; Proboscidea; Elephantidae
Rfam family: tRNA
About the family: Transfer RNA (tRNA) molecules are approximately 80 nucleotides in length. Their secondary structure includes four short double-helical elements and three loops (D, anti-codon, and T loops).
Source: Rfam
ACAUUGGUGGUUCAGUGUUAGAAUGCUCACCUCCCACGCAGGAGACCGGGGUUCGAUUCCCUGCCAAUGCA